Molecule: ribosomal RNA, 468 nt
Filed under: uncultured bacterium
Lineage: Bacteria
Description: partial 16S ribosomal RNA
Rfam family: Bacterial small subunit ribosomal RNA
Source: RNAcentral
GACGAACGCUGGCGGCGUGCUUAACACAUGCAAGUCGAACGGAAAGGCCCUGCUUUUGUGGGGUGCUCGAGUGGCGAACGGGUGAGUAACACGUGAGUAACCUGCCCUUGACUUUGGGAUAACUUCAGGAAACUGGGGCUAAUACCGGAUAGGAGCUCCUGCUGCAUGGUGGGGGUUGGAAAGUUUCGGCGGUUGGGGAUGGACUCGCGGCUUAUCAGCUUGUUGGUGGGGUAGUGGCUUACCAAGGCUUUGACGGGUAGCCGGCCUGAGAGGGUGACCGGCCACAUUGGGACUGAGAUACGGCCCAGACUCCUACGGGAGGCAGCAGUGGGGAAUAUUGCACAAUGGGCGGAAGCCUGAUGCAGCAACGCCGCGUGCGGGAUAACGGCCUUCGGUUUGUAAACCGCUUUCGCCUGUAACGAAGCGUGAGUGACGGUAAUGGGUAAAGAAGCACCGGCUAACUACGUG